CCUACGGGUGGCAGCAGUGGGGAAUAUUGGACAAUGGGGGCAACCCUGAUCCAGCCAUGCCGCGUGUGUGAAGAAGGCCCUCGGGUUGUAAAGCACUUUCAGUGAGGAAGAACGCCUGGUGGUUAAUACCCAUCAGGAAAGACAUCACUCACAGAAGAAGCACCGGCUAACUCCGUGCCAGCAGCCGCGGUAAUACGGAGGGUGCGAGCGUUAAUCGGAAUUACUGGGCGUAAAGCGCGCGUAGGUGGCUUGAUAAGCCGGUUGUGAAAGCCCCGGGCUCAACCUGGGAACGGCAUCCGGAACUGUCAAGUUAGAGUGCAGGAGAGGAAGGUAGAAUUCCCGGUGUAGCGGUGAAAUGCGUAGAGAUCGGGAGGAAUACCAGUGGCGAAGGCGGCCUUCUGGACUGACACUGACACUGAGGUGCGAAAGCGUGGGUAGCAAACAGGAUUAGAUACCCGUGUAGUC
Molecule: ribosomal RNA, 465 nt
Filed under: Vreelandella stevensii
Lineage: Bacteria; Pseudomonadati; Pseudomonadota; Gammaproteobacteria; Oceanospirillales; Halomonadaceae
Description: partial 16S ribosomal RNA
Rfam family: Bacterial small subunit ribosomal RNA
Source: RNAcentral